GAACGAACGCUGGCGGCAUGCCUAACACAUGCAAGUCGAACGAGACCUUCGGGUCUCGUGGCGCACGGGUGCGUAACGCGUGGGAACCUGCCUUUAGGUUCGGAAUAACUCAGAGAAAUUUGAGCUAAUACCGGAUGAUGUCUUCGGACCAAAGAUUUAUCGCCUUUAGAUGGGCCCGCGUUGGAUUAGCUAGUUGGUGGGGUAAAGGCCUACCAAGGCGACGAUCCAUAGCUGGUCUGAGAGGAUGAUCAGCCACACUGGGACGGAGACACGGCCCAGACUCCUACGGGAGGCAGCAGUGGGGAAUAUUGGACAAUGGGCGAAAGCCUGAUCCAGCAAUGCCGCGUGAGUGAUGAAGGCCUUAGGGUUGUAAAGCUCUUUUACCCGAGAUGAUAAUGACAGUAGCGGGAGAAUAAGCUCCGGCUAACUCCGUG
RNAcentral lists this ribosomal RNA (434 nucleotides) under uncultured bacterium. Its description in RNAcentral is "partial 16S ribosomal RNA". It matches the Rfam family "Bacterial small subunit ribosomal RNA", at positions 27 to 507 of the family's 1533-position model. The record is from RNAcentral.